UCCACAUCUUAUUUAGGACCAUAAAGGCAAUACCACUACAAGUCUUUCAGAGCCACAACAUUAGUAGGCUUAGGGUGCCUCUAAUGUAUAUAUGGCUACAGUUACUAGAAACAUAGAUCACAACACCCAAGUUCCUUUGAAUACCUGGAAAGCCUUCCCAAGAAGGACUGGGACAAACAAGCCCAGACUGUAAAGACUGCAAUAAAUGCCUAACUCUUCAAUGUCCAGACAUCAGUGAACAUCCACAAGCAUCAAGACCAUUCAGGAAAACAUUGGCCUCACCAAAUGGACUAAAUAAGACACCACAGACCAAUCCUGGAGACAGAGAUAUGUGUCCUUUUGGGUGGAAAAAUCAGAAUAGUUGUUUUGAGGAAGUACAACAAAAUUCAAGAUAAUACAGAGAAGGAAUUCAGAAUCUUAUCAGAUAAAUUUAACAAAGAGAUUAAAAUAAUAAAUAGAAUCAAGCACAAAUCUUGGAGUUGAAAAAUGCAGUUGACCUACUGACGAAUGCAUCAGAAUUUCUUAACAGAAUUGAUCAAGCAGAAGAAGGAAUGAGUGAACUUGAAGACAGGCUAAUUGAAAAUACACAGAGGAGAAAAAAGAAUAAAAAGGAAUGAGGCACAACUACAAGAUCUAGAAAAUAGCCUCAAAAGGGCAAAUUUAAGAGUUAUUGUCCUUAAAGAGGAGGUAGAGAGAGAGUUAGGCGUAGAAAAUUUAUUCAGAUAGAUAAUAACAGAGAGCCUCUCAAACCUAGUAAAAGAUAUCAAUAUUAAAAUACAAGAAGGUUAUAGAACACUGAGCAGAUUUAACCCAAGACUACCUCAAGAUACUUAAUAAUCAAACUCUCAAAGGUCAAGGAUGAAGAAAGGAUCCUAAAAGCAGCAAGAGAAAAAGAAAAAAACAUGGAAUGGUGCUCCAGUACAUUUGCCAGCAGACUUCUCAGUGGAAGUUGUACAGGCCAGGAGAGAGUGGCAUGCCAUAUUUUAGUGUGGAUUAGGAACUUCAGCAAAGUAUUAUCAGAGGAACUGAGUGUCUCUGUACUUUAUUCUAAAUAACUAUGUCCUACUUACCCGCUCUUAGAAGGAAGUCAGAGGACACUUCUGUAGGUGAAAUAGUAUUCCCCCCUGAUUCAGAGAGAAGAGAGCAUGGAGGCAGAGCAGAAACUUCGUUAGCAGGCAUUCUGUCCUUUGGUUAAAAGAUAAAAGUGGCCAAGAUGUGGAAAAAGGAUAAUAAAACACAAAGGAAUAAGAGUUGUAUAACUCUGAGGGACGUAAAAGAAGGCCAGUCUAUCCAUAUGGGGAUGGGGAAGCCUUGGCAUUGUCCUUUUUCUGAUAACCUUUGGACCCUUUGUAAUAUUUUAUUUGACAUUUUAUAUCCUCUGCUUUGUGGGUGGGGGUUUAGUGGUUACUCUCCUGUUUGGAAAAACAAACUCAGAGAAGUACCUAGAACAGUGUGAACACUCAUUUCUUCCUCCAACAUC
RNAcentral lists this long non-coding RNA (1480 nucleotides) under Homo sapiens (human). RNAcentral's name for it is "HSALNT0119368". Lineage: Eukaryota; Metazoa; Chordata; Mammalia; Primates; Hominidae. The record is from RNAcentral.